This 498-nucleotide ribosomal RNA is filed under the name uncultured bacterium. Its description in RNAcentral is "partial 16S ribosomal RNA". It matches the Rfam family "Bacterial small subunit ribosomal RNA", at positions 30 to 523 of the family's 1533-position model. The record is from RNAcentral.
AUUGAACGCUGGCGGCAUGCCUUACACAUGCAAGUCGAACGGUAACAGGUCUUCGGAUGCUGACGAGUGGCGAACGGGUGAGUAAUACAUCGGAACGUGCCUAGUAGUGGGGGAUAACUACUCGAAAGGGUGGCUAAUACCGCAUGAGAUCUACGGAUGAAAGCAGGGGAUCGCAAGACCUUGUGCUACUAGAGCGGCCGAUGGCAGAUUAGGUAGUUGGUGGGAUAAAAGCUUACCAAGCCGACGAUCUGUAGCUGGUCUGAGAGGACGAUCAGCCACACUGGGACUGAGACACGGCCCAGACUCCUACGGGAGGCAGCAGUGGGGAAUUUUGGACAAUGGGCGAAAGCCUGAUCCAGCAAUGCCGCGUGCAGGAUGAAGGCCUUCGGGUUGUAAACUGCUUUUGUACGGAACGAAAAGCCCCGGGUUAAUACCCUGGGGUCAUGACGGUACCCAAAGAAUAAGCACCGGCUAACUUCGUGCCAGCCGCCGCGGUAA